AACGCGAAGAACCUUACCUGGAUUUGACAUGCACGUGACGACGUUAGAGAUAACGUUUUCUCGCAAGAGACGCGUGCACAGGUGCUGCAUGGCUGUCGUCAGCUCGUGCCGUGAGGUGUUGGGUUAAGUCCCGCAACGAGCGCAACCCUUGUCGUUAGUUGCCAGCGAGUAAUGUCGGGCACUCUAGCGAGACUGCCUGGGUUAACCAGGAGGAAGGUGAGGAUGACGUCAAGUCCGCAUGGCCUUUAUGUCCAGGGCUACACACGUGCUACAAUGGCAGGUACAGAAGGCAGCGAGACCGAGAGGUGGAGCAAAUCCUAAAAGCCUGCCCCAGUUCAGAUUGAAGUCUGCAACUCGACUUCAUGAAGAUGGAAUUGCUAGUAAUGGCGAGUCAGCAACAUCGCCGUGAAUACGUUCCCGGGCCUUGUACACACCGGAGUGC
RNAcentral lists this ribosomal RNA (442 nucleotides) under uncultured bacterium. RNAcentral's name for it is "bacterial SSU rRNA". It matches the Rfam family "Bacterial small subunit ribosomal RNA", at positions 958 to 1398 of the family's 1533-position model. The record is from RNAcentral.